CCUGGCCUAACCCUUGCCGCUUCCCUGGUUUGUUCUCGCUCGACUGCGUCGCAGCACUAACGCGGGGCUCUAGCCUCGCCAGCGUGCGUCGGGUGUGGCCGGACGGGAGGCUGUUAAACAUGGUGAUACUGGUGGUCGGACAAUAGAGUGGAGAGUUUUCUUUUUGUCAUGCUUUCACCUAAAGGCAGUGGAUGCACGGGUUGUGGGGGCGAGGCAGGCGGUGGAGACAGAUGUUGUGGCGGCGUUCCUCGCCCGAUUUAGAUGGCGGGUUUGUGAUUGGAUCCGAUUUGGAUGGUGGGUCUGUGAUUGGAUCCGAUCGGAUCCCAUUACAAAUCCAUUGAAGGCUGGUUAUGGCGUGAAGUUGGACCUUGCUAUAGGGUGUUCGACGAUGGUGUUGGCGUUGAUUUUCAUUCUGGAGGGCGACGGAGGUUCUGGGGAGGACGACGGAGGGACAAGCUCUCAUCUUGUUUCGAGGUUUAGGCUCCCCAGUCUUGGGAUUGUGGUGGUGGGGAUACGCACACCCCAAUCAUAGAGAGGUUGGUAAUGUCUAACCAACUUAGAGC
Molecule: long non-coding RNA, 563 nt
Filed under: Rosa chinensis
Lineage: Eukaryota; Viridiplantae; Streptophyta; Magnoliopsida; Rosales; Rosaceae
Description: sRNA RchiOBHm_Chr6g0258191
Source: RNAcentral